UCCCCUCAAUUUUCGAUAAAGGCCUCGACAGUCGCGAAGCGUGGGGUCACUCAAAGAGGACCUUUGAAGGCCCCUCGUUCUUCAAUGAGUAGAGGCUAAGAAGACCUCGGUUGAUCGAGAAGCGAAGGAUAACCCAAAGAGGACCCUUGAAGGCCCCUCUUCUUUAACGAGUAGAGGUUACGAAGACCUCGACUGAUCAAGAAGUGAAGGCUAACUC
Molecule: long non-coding RNA, 217 nt
Filed under: Elaeis guineensis (African oil palm)
Lineage: Eukaryota; Viridiplantae; Streptophyta; Magnoliopsida; Arecales; Arecaceae
Description: long non-coding RNA (EGUI_LNC001989)
Source: RNAcentral